AAUGAACGUUGGCGGCGUGGAUUAGGCAUGCAAGUCGAGCGAUAAGUCCCCUUCGGGGGACGAAGAGCGGCGAAAGGGAGAGCAACGUGUGGACUACCUACCCUCGGGUUCGGGAUAGCCGCGGGAAACUGCGGGUAAUACCGAAUAACAUCCCCGGAUCAAAGGUUGUGAUUCCGCCUGGGGACGGUCCGCAUCCUAUUAGCUUGUUGGUGAGGUAACGGCUCACCAAGGCCGCGAUGGGUACGGGGUGUGAGAGCAUGCCCCCGCUCACUGGGACUGAGACACUGCCCAGACACCUACGGGAGGCAG
This 309-nucleotide ribosomal RNA is filed under the name uncultured Planctomycetota bacterium. Its description in RNAcentral is "bacterial SSU rRNA". It matches the Rfam family "Bacterial small subunit ribosomal RNA", at positions 29 to 351 of the family's 1533-position model. Lineage: Bacteria; Pseudomonadati; Planctomycetota. The record is from RNAcentral.